UUGUGAAUGACUUUGAAGUAGAAAUAUUUGGUUUUGGUAAAAGAAGCUGAAAAACAUACCAGUUUUCACUUACACAAAUUUUUUUUCUCUGUCUGUGAGGCUCCUCCAGAAGGUUGGAAAGACUUUCAGGCUCUACAGUGCCUAAAUAUAACUGACACAUGAUCUCAUUGUGAAACUUAAUGAACAUUUGAGUCUGGACAUAAAGACCGCUGAGAUUAGGGUAUGUGUUAGAUCUGUAUAACAUCAAGUUAAAGAUUGUGAUGGCAACUUCCUCUUUUCUUUCAGCAUUUCUUAAUAUUCACAUGAUUUUUGAAUUGUCAAAUUAAUAUUUCUAAUUCAGCUUUGUUGUGUUCCAUAUCCAGAAAUAACAAGUUGUUGAAGAAAGUGAUGUGGAGCCAAAAAAAAAAAAAUGCUAAACUACUGUGCUUCUUUGCUUAGUGAAUGCAAAGAUUGAGAGUUCUUGAGGGUUUCCCUCAGCUUGAAAAUGAAAGCAGGGAUUAACCAUGCAUUGUCAAAGCUACACUUCCAAGAUACUGGAGUUCUGCCCGGAGGUGAGUGGCUAAUUUUCUGAAAACUUAAUAUUGUGAGUGUCUUUCCAGGAUGAUACAGAUGAAGAUGGGUACUUGAACUGCUGGCAAGUUUUGAUGGCCUUGAAAGAUGCUGCUUCAGAAGCACUGAUUUAUGCAGGAAGUAAAGCUAACAGAUCUCUCCCUUGAAAAAUGUGAGAGAAUGAUUUUAGAGAUUGUUGACUAUUAUGUAACAGAUGGCCUGACAGACCUCCGACUCUUUGCAGUGAUGGCUAGCUUGGCGUAGAAAAUAGCAGCACUGGAGUAAGCAUUCAGCGGCAUAGACGCUCAUGAAUUUUAACUCCUCAGUGACAAAGGAAUUCAAGGGGAAAUAUUUCUGUGCCUGGCCAGUCAUUGAAAACUUUUCCUGGUAAAGUAGAGGAAGAAGGGGGAAAAGACAUUCACCUCAGAAGAGCAUCCUCAAAACAAAUCAGUCAGGGACACACGUCUCUUCCCUCAGCACACCUCCAUCCUGCAGUCAUUGCUGUAAGACAGAGACUCUCCAUAGCACCUCUGGGACGUAGAACGCUAUCCACUCCCUGCCAGAUCUUCUUGAUGUUGAGUUUUCCAAAGACAUUUUCUCAAAGGGAGAGCACAAUGAAGAGGCCAGCCAGCAGCUCCAGUCUCAGUCGGAGAUCACAACUGUCCAGUGAGGCUGAGAAGCAGGGAGAUAUGUCCUCCCCUCCCCACUGCCAACAUGUGGGCCUGGAGUGCUCUCAGGAAACGUUCAUCACCAGCUCUGGCCAGAAGAUGAAACUGGGCAGAUGAUAUGUUUCAAUGUCUCUUAUUUGUAGUAGUGGUAAAUUUCUUCUCUCUUUUUUAGGGCUAUCAGAAGGCAAAAAGGUAGAGGUUAGGGAGCUGAUACUUCGGCAAAGUGAUGACCUGUGCUCAUACAGUGGUGGUUUCACUUUGUGUGUUAGCUGUUUGCAGCAGUGUCUCAGAGGACAGGGUGUUUGGGGGGUUUUCAACCCCACGUAACCAAUCUGAUGAUGACAUAGUCACUUUUCAUCUUAAUGGGUCUAUCCUGCAAUUCUGGUGAAAUAUUUGGUAUCCAUGAAUCAAAACAGAAAGUAGCUGACUUUCAUUUUUAACAUAGCUAUGGAAGUACUUUCCAUGCACUUUUUUUUUCCCCCUUAAUAAUGCUCUCAAAACUCUUUCUACAUAAGAUUUGAUAACUAGAAGGCAAUACUUUGCAGUUUAAUAGUUUGUGGAACUUUUCUAAUUGUUAAUACAACUCUGCUAGCUGAGGAGUACAGAAACAUAGAAUUCUCCUGCUGAAAUCACAUCUGAUAUGCCCGGAUUUCUCUGAUAGGAAUCGUGCUGUAUUUCUUUAUUUUUUCCAGGCUAAUGUUUAUAUUAGCAUGGACAAACAACAACAAAGAAAAAAUAUGCAUCUUUUUUGCAUUAUUUCUUGUUAAAUUUGUCUUCUUUAGACUAGCCACUUUCUGAACUUCAGGCAAACAAAGAUAGGCAUAACACAUGUCUAAAAUCAGUGAGAGGCAAAUGCGGCACAGUCCUUUGCUUCUUUGUGAGUCAAAUGCUCCAGCCCCCUAAUAAACAUCUGCAAAAAAAGAAAAAAAGAAAAAAAAGAAAAGUCAUUUUGAUUGGGUGUCACAUGUGAGAACUACCUGAGGGCAAAUAAAUGUGAGGGUCACAUUCUUAUCAGCCCCUUCUGAUAAUAAUAGCCCGUUUGCUAGGCACAGUCUGCUAGUGUUGGCCCAGUGGGUCAGAUAACAAUCCCCAGGCUCUCCCUCUCUUCCCCUGCUGUGACCCGGCCCAUCUGCUUCUCUCUGGCCAUAUGGUACAGAAGUAUUUGGGACUGGAGACAUUAUCGCUUUAUGCAUCUGAAUGUUCUUUGCUUUCACUGAAACUUCAACGUAAAGAUAUUGCUUUGAAUACGCCCUGACAAAAGUUUUUGUUGGUGGUGGUGGUUUGGGUUUUCAUUUCAGAGUUUAAAUGAACAACGGUGUUUGUGUCAACAGAAUAUAUCUAACAGAUAGAUGUGCAGGUAAGAAAGCUGAUUGCAUGUUGUCUCCCCAGCUUGCCUCAAAUGCAAUAUUAUUUAGUCUGCCUCUUAAGAAUGAAAACAGACUCCAGAAUAUGCAAAAGAAGACUUUUGCUUGUUGUUAUUAUGCCUGUGUGUUGCGUCUUCCACGUAGUGCAGCUGUGGCAUUGCACUGCAAAGCAAAGGCAAGAAGCCCAUUGGAACAAACUGUACUGCACCAGGAAGCCCUCCUCUCCUCUGGACCAGGUAAGGAGGUCCCGGGGCUUUGUCACUGCCUUGCUCUGGCCAAGGAGCAUACAGGUACAUCCUCCCUGAGUGCACUGUAAACUUCCAAUUAGGCCUAAUGAGGGCUCAGCCCAGGCAGCAAAGGAGGGAGAGACAAUAGCAAAUGCACAGUGCUUCAUGUUCCCUUUACCAAGAGAAGGAUGUAAUUAUUGUGUGGUCUUUAGCAUAACAAAGUCCAUACAGUGGCCAGCGUCCUGGGUCCCUUCUCAGCUGGGACCUCUGGACAUUGUUGCAAGCACCUUCAUAAUGGUAGUCUGAACUGGAAAAUUUAAACAGGGAUUACUAUGCAAACGUUACCCCAACAAGCUGAUUUACAAAUUGUUUGAGGGAAAUGUCCAGUGGCACAGUUGCCGUUCAGUCUGUGUAACGAUUUUAAAUAGCAAUAAGAAACCAAAUUUACCCCCCCAUGGAAGCUGGCUCUAUAUCCAUGUCAUUCUUUCCCCUCGUAUUUCUUAUAUGGUCUCCUCAUGUUUUCA
Numida meleagris (helmeted guineafowl) is the source of this 3332-nucleotide long non-coding RNA. RefSeq lists it as uncharacterized. The transcript is spliced from 5 exons. Lineage: Eukaryota; Metazoa; Chordata; Aves; Galliformes; Numididae. The record is from RefSeq and is a predicted model, not a curated record.